AAGGAGUCUAAUAUGUGUGCGAGUUUUUGGGUGGCAAACCCAUGAGCGUAAUGAAAGUGAAUGCAGGUGGGAUCCGCAAGGAGCACCAUCGACCGGCCCUGAUGUUCUCGGAUGGGUCUGCGUAAGAGCAUAUAUGUUGGGACCCGAAAGAUGGUGAACUAUGCCUGAAUAGGGCGAAUCCAGAGGAAACUCUGGUGGAGGCUCGCAGCGGUUCUGACGUGCAAAUCGAUCGUCAGAUUUGGGUAUAGGGGCGAAAGACUAAUCGAACCAUCUAGUAGCUGGUUUCUGC
This 289-nucleotide unclassified non-coding RNA is filed under the name uncultured fungus. RNAcentral describes it as "partial contains 5.8S rRNA, ITS2 and 28S rRNA". It matches the Rfam family "Eukaryotic large subunit ribosomal RNA", at positions 668 to 961 of the family's 3401-position model. The record is from RNAcentral. Lineage: Eukaryota; Fungi.